RNAcentral lists this ribosomal RNA (484 nucleotides) under uncultured bacterium. Its description in RNAcentral is "partial 16S ribosomal RNA". It matches the Rfam family "Bacterial small subunit ribosomal RNA", at positions 30 to 507 of the family's 1533-position model. The record is from RNAcentral.
AUUGAACGCUGGCGGCAGGCCUAACACAUGCAAGUCGAGCGGAUGAAGGGAGCUUGCUCCUGGAUUCAGCGGCGGACGGGUGAGUAAUGCCUAGGAAUCUGCCUGGUAGUGGGGGAUAACGUCCGGAGACGGGCGCUAAUACCGCAUACGUCCUGAGGGAGAAAGUGGGGGAUCUUCGGACCUCACGCUAUCAGAUGAGCCUAGGUCGGAUUAGCUAGUUGGUGGGGUAAAGGCCUACCAAGGCGACGAUCCGUAACUGGUCUGCGAGGAUGAUCAGUCACACUGGAACUGAGACACGGUCCAGACUCCUACGGGAGGCAGCAGUGGGGAAUAUUGGACAAUGGGCGAAAGCCUGAUCCAGCCAUGCCGCGUGUGUGAAGAAGGUCUUCGGAUUGUAAAGCACUUUAAGUUGGGAGGAAGGGCAGUAAGUUAAUACCUUGCUGUUUUGACGUUACCAACAGAAUAAGCACCGGCUAACUUCGUG